ACAGCUAGCGAUCAGUUAUCGGAGGAUCGAAAUAGAUCCCCGGAGCGGUCUCUUUGUGAGCUCUCCUCGAUUACGUAUUCACACUAUGCUUCCUUUG
This 97-nucleotide small RNA is filed under the name Stygamoeba regulata. RNAcentral's name for it is "partial Cyanobacteria transfer-messenger RNA". Lineage: Eukaryota; Discosea; Stygamoebida. The record is from RNAcentral.